This 253-nucleotide ribosomal RNA is filed under the name uncultured bacterium. RNAcentral describes it as "partial 16S ribosomal RNA". It matches the Rfam family "Bacterial small subunit ribosomal RNA", at positions 524 to 776 of the family's 1533-position model. The record is from RNAcentral.
UACAGAGGUCCCAAGCGUUGUUCGGAUUCAUUGGGCGUAAAGGGUGCGUAGGCGGCGCGGUAAGUCGGGUGUGAAAUCUCGGGGCUUAACUCCGAAACUGCAUUCGAUACUGCCGUGCUUGAGGACUGGAGAGGAGACUGGAAUUUACGGUGUAGCAGUGAAAUGCGUAGAGAUCAUGAGGAAGACCAGUGGCGAAGGCGGGUCUCUGGACAGUUCCUGACACUGAGACACGAAGGCCAGGGGAGCAAACGGG